GGGUUUCAGGGUUAGAUCUUGAAACUUUUUCAAAAUCAUACAGCGGAAGACUAAAAUAAAUCAAAAUUAUUUUAUAAAAUUAGAGAAUCCCUAGAUCUAAGAUCCUAUUACAUGAUUAUUACAUAGUAUUAAAUCAAAAAUUAAAAUAUAUAAAUAUAGCAUGAACUACAUGUUGAUCAUAUCAACAUGUUUCUUUACUACAUCAAAUGUAUGUAUUAAACAAUA
Molecule: long non-coding RNA, 225 nt
Filed under: Elaeis guineensis (African oil palm)
Lineage: Eukaryota; Viridiplantae; Streptophyta; Magnoliopsida; Arecales; Arecaceae
Description: long non-coding RNA (EGUI_LNC068351)
Source: RNAcentral